CUCCAGGCUGCAGAGAGAAGACAGAAGCUGUUGAAAAGCAGGGAGCUGGGAAGAAGGAAACAGAUGCCUGUCUAUCAGACCAUGGCUCCCUCCUCCCUGCUAAGAUAAUGCUUGGAGUGCACGCUGAUUUGAGUUUGAGGAGGUGAAGCUAAGAGGGCCUGAGCUGCUGAGGUGAGGUUACACGGACCCAUCUCAGAGCUGCAGCUCAUCCAGAAUAAGACCCAGAUGCCCGGGGGAUCCAUGAACCUGGUAAUACGGCUGCCAGAAGCCAGCCUUAUGCAGGGAAUAUAGGUGAAGCCUCUCUAUGAUGCUGGAGUGUGUGUGUCAGCACUGGGGUGUGUGGUGUGUGCUGCAUGUGUGAGGUAACACUGUGGUGUGGUGUGUGUGAGGUAGCAUCAUGAAAAUCGAUUGUUCUUUUUCCCCCUUUCGCCCUUAGUGCAGUAGGACUUAAACAUAACUAAUGACAGAGCACACUGGUUCCACUGACCUACUUAAAAAGACUGAUGUUUAAAGAAGAAUUUGUCCUAGGGGUAGGGUCUUUGUAACCUGAACAUUUGCUGUUUCUCUUCUGCUAAUCUGCAUCAAAUCAUUCUGUUAUAGCAUUGUUUCAUAUGUACAGUUAUAUAUUAUAUUAUAUGUUUAUAUGGUUUUACACGAAUUUAAAAAAAAAAAAAAACUUGAUCCCAUACAGGGCUGCAUCAAAGGGUAUCUUGGGAGGUGUCCACCUUCUGCCAGGGUGAAGAGUCACUGUGUUUUGGAGCUUUUCUGGAAUUCCCCCCAGAACCUUCUUUCUAUCUGGGCUUUGUGAUCUGGAUAGUACACCUUAGCAUCAAAACACGUUCUCUGACUUCACCUGCCUGUCCUCUGCAGUGUCAGCUCCGCACCCUGAAAUGACUUUCUUUUUGAAACAGACUGGGUCUGGAAUUUGGAGAGUAAAUAUGGUGAAAAACAAUAACUGGAUAAUACAGUUUUUGUUGGAAACCCAGAAAUAAAACUGGCUCUCAGGCAGCUCACAAACUGGCCCUGGGAGAUUCCACUGAUGCUGUCUGUCAGCCCUGGGCUGGCCCUGCUGUGAGGAGUGGUUUCCUGUGGUGUCCACUUCAAAAGACGGCCUGGCUGCUCACAUAGUGGCUGCUGAUUAAAGAAACACACUGUCCUUGCUGGGGCCUUCUCCCACACAGCCAUGGGCCAUCUAACAUUCCCUUUCCCUUGUUACUACACAGCCUGUGAUCUGUCCAGCCGAGGAGCAUCAAGGAGAGCGAGACAGCUCCCACUCCCACCCGGACGACUCUACCAUCAACCUGAUGUGAUCUGCUUCGAUGUCUCUCCAUUAUCUCACACAACUAUGUUGCCUGGCUUUGUGUCAAAUUGGCAGAAGCUAGAGGGGCAGGCAGGAGGGAGCCUCAGCUGAGAAAAUGCAGGACUGUGGGCAAGUCUGUGGAACAGCUUCUUAGUUAUUGAUGGGGGAGGGCUCAACCCUUUGUGGGCGGGGUCACUCUUGGGCUGGUGGUCCUGGGUUGUAUAAGAAAGCAGGCUGAGCAAGCCAUGGUGAGCAAACUCUACAUCAGCUCCUGCCUCCAGGUUCCUACUCUGUUUUGAGUUAUUGCCUUGGCUUCCCUCAAUGGACUGAUUCCAAAUAUGUAACCCAAAUAAAUUCUUUCCUUCUCAACUUGCUUUGGGUCAUGGUGUUUCAUGACAGCAGUGAUAACCUUAAGACACCACCAGUGCCAUCAGAGGAAACACACUGCAGUUUUGAUAGUUCCGUGGAAUUUCAUAGGUGAGAUCAUGUUAGGCGGCAGAAAGCCAUAAUUAGAAUAUAUUGCAUAAAAAUUUUAUUUUCAAUUAAAACGAAAAAGAAAAAUCCCCUGGAAGAUAACGCAUAGCCUUUGUGAGCUUGUGAGGGCCAGCUGCCACACACAUGGAGUAGGGUGGUCAGGCCACUGGGAUCUGUGACACUUUGUCAAUUCAGGCCUACGCCCCUCUUCCCCUCAGGUAAGCUUGGGGACUCUCUGGGGUCAUGUAAACUUUCGGAGUGUAUGACAUUUGGACGAUGUCCCUCUGAAGUGUCCUGGGAGUUCCUGAAAUGUUAGGUAGAUUUGAAACAUUCGAAAACAAUUUAUGUUGUCAUUCCUUGAUCCCUGUGUAGUUUAAUUCCCAAUUAUUAAAAAAAUAAAUUAUUUAGAUUUUUUAUGUGUAUGAGUGCUCGGCCUGCAUUUUGGUACAUGUGCCACGUCGUGUCUGGGGCCUAUAAAGUCAGAAGAGGGUGCUAUGUAUGGAAGUGUAAGGGUGUUACCCAGCUUACUUAGUAGCUGUUCAUCUCAAAGUAGAAUCCUCUGUCUUUGCUUCAGCAUUUCUGGGAGACAGGAGGACUUCCAUAGCACCCAGAGAAUGAGAAAGGAGUUCUGAUUACCUCUUGCACACCGCACAGCUCAUCUGCCUGGCAAGCUGCUCUUGUUUUUAUGUGAGCCUGUGUGAGACUAUUUUAAGCGGAUGUUGCACGGUGUCACUAAUUGUCUCCGUCCAUAUUAAGCACCUACCCAUAUUGUUGUGACUGGGGUGUCAGUCGGUGUACUCUUUGUCAUUCAACUUGGGGCCUCAUCCAUCUGGAGCAGGCAGGCACCUGCUACACUGUAACCUGUUAUUAGUGGGAGCAAAUAUAUGUAAACAGAAACACACACACUCUCACUCCUUGCUAUUCUGGACCUCCUGUUUCUUGGGAACAAGUGGACUUGAGAACAAGAGGCCUUGCCCUAUACUGAGUUAUUCCCAGGUAAACUCAAAGGAUUGAUGGAAUUAUACACUGUAGAAAUGGCUUCUGAGGAACGUUCUGCAGUCAUGGGUCAGUUAGGAAAUACACACACACACACACACACACACACACACACACACACACACACACACAGUGUUUUCUCUCUCUGAACUCAUUGGCCUUGUUCUUCUUGGGGUCUCCUCUCCACACAGGCCACAUUGAUGGUGGGAGGCUCUGCUCUGCAUAUGUCUUGGCUGCAGGAACUCUGUCUCCUUGGCUCUUCUGUCUGCUGGAGCACUUACAGACACAUCCUCUCUGGCAAGUGCCCAAGGUCACCUGUUCCUAUAAGGAAUCUUUUUUUUUCACACCUUAAGUGUUUUAUUUAAUUUCAGUUGCUGAAAACCACAGAAAGCCUCUGCUGUCUGCUGACUGUCCCAAUAACAAUCUAGAGCAGCAGUGGUCCCUCCCUUUUCCCCUCCCCCUUCUUUCCUGUCUCCUCCUUCCCUUCCCUCAUCUCCCUCCUUCCUUCCUUCUUCCCCCAGUUGUUCAUCCUUUCUCCAUUUUCACUCUUGCUGUUAGAGCAGUGCUUACCUCUAACAGUUUCUGCACCCUAUGGUGGGUGUACAGAUGGCCGUGUGUGUGUGUGUGUGUGUGUGUGUGUGUGUGUGUGUGUGUGUCACGGCUCUGUGAGCUCAUGUCUUACCCCAGCUGCACAGGACCUAUUUCAGUGCCAAUUAAUUCUAGCGUAACUAACAUAUGCUUCACGGUACUCUCGUUUCCGACAGAAUAUAUAACUCGCUGGAGGACAUUGUGAGAAAGCAUCAUUUAAAAUAUCUGGGCAGCUUUGAUUCAGUACAUUUGCUUGAUUGGGUUACACUAGGCUUCCCACAAUUAGCUAAAACAAUACAUAAAACAAUAAAGGGAACUGGUGAAAGUUUCAUUGCAGAGUGGUCUAAUGGUCGUGAUAACAGCUAUUAGCUCUGACGUUGUGUUACAUUUGGUUAGAGUAGAUGGCCUCAUUCGAUCCCUUCCAGGAGAAGAAGGGGAAGGGCACAGAGAGGCCAUACGGCACACCAAGUAUCAUUUGGUAAUUGGAUUAGCCCCCUCGUCUCUCAGCUUGAUCUCUGAACGUCUCUGUUCAGGCCAUUGAAGAAUGGUCACUUAAAGUGACUUUGCCUAAUGUGAGCACCAGCAUUUAAAACAAACAGCGACAGCAGUCUACGGAGACAUUGGUUUAUGAAGUUAGAAGGCUUGGAGCAAAUUUACUUUCUCACAUAAGGAACAUAACUAAGUACCUUUUGCAGUUCCAAGAAGAAAGGAGAGUGGAUUGUGUGUGUGUGUGUGUGUGUGUGUGUGUGUGUGUGUGUGUGCAUGUGUUUGUGUAUAGGUGUGUGUGUUUGUGCUGUGUGUUUGUGCAUAUAUUUGUGUAUAAGUGUGUGUCUGUGUGUAUGUCUGUGCAUGUGUAUGUGUGUACGUUUGUGUACACAUGCAUGUGGACGUUUGUGUGUAGGUGUGCAUAUCUGUGUGUGUAUGUGUCCAUAUGUGUGUAUGUGAUUGUGUGUGCAUACAUGCAUUUAUGUGAGUAGGUGUGUGUAAUGUGUGUGUACCUGUGUGCAUGUGUGUGUGUGCGCAUGAUUGUGUGUGGGGCUUUUCUGUAUGAAUUUUUGUCUUGCAUUUGGCAUCCACCUUGCUUUUUGAGACAGAGUCUGUCAUUGGGACCUGGGGAUUAUCAAGGAGGCUAAGUUGGCUGGCCAGUGAGCCCCAGGGAGAUAGAUGUCUGUCUCUAUCUCCCUGUUGCUGGGAUUGUAAGUGUGUGCUACCAGAUGCGGCCCUUUACGUGGCUCUGGGGACUGACCUCAGGUUCUCAAGCUGACUCAGCCUCACCUAGGAAGGUUUUGCUGGUGCUGCAUCGUUUCCUAGAGGCCUCUCUCACUCGAAGAUGAUUCUCUGGCGUGGGUGUGAGUUUGUUGAUCUACUCUUCUCCCAGGUACCAUUUGAGUCUGUCCUCUAAAGUGUAGGUGCAGGGUUGGGGAUUUAGCUCAGUGGUAGAGCGCUUGCCUAGGAAGUGCAAGGCCCUGGGUUCGGUCCCCAGCUCUGAAAAAAAGAGCCAAAAAAAAAAAAAAAAUACAGUAAAGUGUAGGUGCGCCAUGUGUAGGUGCAUCAGAGUGUGACAGCUUUCCAUUUUAGUUCAUUAAGUGGGAUGCUACAGCCUCCCAGGUGUGUGUGUGUGUGUGUGUGUGUGUGU
Rattus norvegicus (Norway rat) is the source of this 4994-nucleotide non-coding RNA. The record is from RefSeq and is a predicted model, not a curated record. NCBI's taxonomy places the organism in Eukaryota, Metazoa, Chordata, Mammalia, Rodentia, Muridae.